CAUUCCUGAUUUCUCUACCGUUAUUCCCAAUCUUGCUCUCAAGUCUGCCAUUCUCAACUGGUGCAACAAGAACUCCGUAAAGCCGCCACAAGCUCUUGAUUUCUUCUCUGCAGAGAAGCUCGUCCGUGCAAAAAUGGACGCCCAACAAGAAGAGAAGGGUUUGAUUCAGAGGAUUAAACAGUGCCCUUCAGUAAAUUUCAUGAAUCAAGCAGCAAUUGAAUUGACGCUUCCUCCAUCCCAUUUAUCCUCCAGCUCUGAGGAAUCAGUGGACACCACCGCUUCGACCCCUCAGCUGCAGUUCACGACUCGGCCUAGUUUCUGCCCA
RNAcentral lists this unclassified non-coding RNA (325 nucleotides) under Hevea brasiliensis (rubber tree). Lineage: Eukaryota; Viridiplantae; Streptophyta; Magnoliopsida; Malpighiales; Euphorbiaceae. The record is from RNAcentral.